GUGUGUGUGUGUGUGUGUGUGUGUGUGUGUGUGUGAUUGUCUAUUGUCUAUUACUAAUCUUCAAGAAACAUUUUUGAUAAAAAGAAAAAUUUGUUUCAUUUUAUGAUUAAAUAAAUUUUUUAAUUAAUUGACAUUUUAAGAUAAUAUAAGAAGUCAAAUUCUUUUAGAAACAAUAGUUUAUCAAAUUAUUUGUCGUUUAUUUAAACAUGUUACAAACAUUUACCGCUUGAGAAAGUAUGAUUUGAAUUUUAUUGUUACUUAUUUAAAAGAUAUUUUAAAUCUUAAAUAAAAUAACAAAAUUACAAAUAUGUUUAUUCAAUAAAUCUUUCUUAUUAAGUUCCAAAUAGUUGAAAUAUAUUAUUUUGCAUCGUUUCAGUUUAAAUGUAUUACUACAGAGAUCGGACUUAUCUCUUUAGACGGUAUAUGGAUAAUAUCCUUAUACAGAUCCUUGCAUAGACAUAAAACGAUUAGUAAAGUUUAACCAAUGUCUCUUAUCGAUCUGUGUGUUUUUUUAUAUACAGCGGUGCCACAUUCUAUUAUUUCUUUCAGUAAAGACAAGAUCGUAGAUAAAGUAUGAUAAAAAUCUGAUGUAUGAAUCGCCAAGGUGAUUAUCGACGCAUAACAUAAGUAAUAAUUAGUGCAGUAUAUCUCAUAUGUAGAUUUAAUACGUUUAUAUCUUGUUGUAUCGGCGGAAUCUUCUUGUGCCAAGAAGAGAGAAUUUUAAAAUAUUUCUUAUUUACAGUAUUUCUCGCACAUAUAAGUCAAAAUAAAUUUAAAAAAUAUUUAAUAAAAUUUUAUUACUUAAACAUAUAUAAUAUUUUCAAAAGUGUUAUUUAUGGAAGUGUUUGUCUUAAUAAUACUUGGUAAUUGUUAAUUUCAAAUUUAUUUUUAAGCUGUUAAUUUUCACUCAAUAAUACGCGGAGAAAAUUUUCUCUUAAAAUUUACCCUCAAAAUUUGAUAUUUGUAGAAUAAUGUCUGAUCUCGAGAAAUUUUACUAUUAGUAAAAUUUCUCGAGGACACACAUUAUCCCGCAAUUAUCAGAUUUUGAAGGUAAAUUUUAAGAGAAAACUCUCCGUGUACAUACACCUUUAAACAUUUAUGUACUUAGCACAUGCACUUGUCUUUUAUAAAAAAAUUUUUCAACUUUUACAUAUAUAGUAUAUAUAAUAUAUUCUGCUUACUUAGUAAAAAACAGUACAAAUUACCUGAAUUUUCCUUUUCUUAUAAUUUUAAACUUUAUUAAAUCAUAUGUAUGUCAUGCGUCGUAUGGUAAUCUUUCCCCUCGCAAUAUUGCAUUUAUCGAACAAUGUAGCACGUAAAAUUUGCCAACCCUUUCAUGUAACCCUAUCAUUAUGCGCAGACGUUUUGUACACGCAAGCGCGAUACUCAGUCUGUUUUUACUACUGAAAGAGAAACCAUCUAUUAGCACAUACAUCCGUUCAGUCAUGCUCGAGCUUCUGGUCUCGUCUGACCAUCUGUUAUUCGCAAACUCGAAAUGCGCACACACUAUUAACGGAAAUAACGAAAAUUCCUAGUGCUCAACAAAGAACAAAAGAAACAUACAAAAUCGCGUUCGAAGAUUCAAUUGCGUGUUAAAUAUAAAUUUAAAAAAAAAAAAAGAACCGUUUAAGCUAAUCAUGGAAGGUUCAUCGAAGAUGAAUAAACAUGAAAAUGAGUUCACUUACGCAGUGCAAGUGACUCGUGUUAUCCUGCGAAUGAUCGGCGCGUGGCCACUUUCCAAUUACGUUUCCAACGUUGAAAGAAUCGCGACCCGCCUACAAAACAUCUGUUGCUACUUUUUAUUCGCGUUUACGAUUAUACCAGGUUUCCUGUUGAUGUUUCUGAAGGAACGCGACUACAAACGUAAAGUGAAAUUACUCGCGCCAAUUCUCAAUUCUUGGGCAAGUUGCGUGAAGUAUAGCCUGCUCGUGUACCACGCGAGAGAAAUUCAUUCUUGCCUGAAGCAGGCGCGACAGGAUUGGAUGAAUACGGUCGAUUUGAACAGUCGGAAAGCAAUGUUAUCUAACGCGAAAAUAGGCCGGCAGUUCGCGAUCGUUUCUGCCAUCUUUAUGUACAUCAGCGGAUUGUUUUUCCGUGUCAUCGUGCCGCUCUCGAAAGGACGAAUGCUCACGCCGAUGAACACCACGGUGAGAGCGUUGCCAUGCCCGAGUUACUUUGUUAAAUUCAAUGAACAGGCCUCACCGGCGUACGAGAUCGUCUUCAUCCUGCAAUUCUUCGCAGGACUAAUCACCUACUCGGUAACGGUCGGCGUUGCCGGACUGGCUGCAUUUUUCGUCAUGCACAUUUGUGGACAAUUAAGCGUUUUAAUUGGCAAGCUCAAAUGUCUUAAUAAUAUACUGGAACCCGAGGAUCGAACUGUCACGAUAUUACUGGCUGAUAUCGUAGAGCAUCAUAUAAGAGUGAAAGGUUUCCUAAAACAAGUAGAGGAAACUAUGCGAUUUGUAUGGUUAUUGGAAAUAGUGAGCUCUACUCUUUUUCUGUGUCUUACGGGGUACUACGUUAUUAUGGAAUGGGAAAAUAAUAAUUCUACAGCAACGUUUACUUAUUCUGUGAUGCUGGCAUCUUUGACCUUUUCUAUUUUUACUAAUUGUUACGUUGGUCAACUAUUAACGGAUCAGAGCUCCAAGUUUGGCUUAAUGGCAGCCACAAUGAAAUGGUACCGUCUUCCGCAUAAAAGAAGUCGUUCUUUAAUCUUGAUAAUGGCGGUUUCUAAUAUUCCGGCAAAAAUCUCGGCGGGAAAGUUGAUAGACAUGUCUCUACUAACGUUCAGUAAUCAUAUCGAGAACGACUGAAUUAAUACUCGACAUUAUGAAGAUCGAUUCAUCGAUUACAUUGGCGGGCUUGUUACAGACAAGAAAGUAGCUCCUAGCAGGGUAUAUAAGCCUAGACAUGUUUGAAAUAAGAGAAAUGAGAAAAGCAAUCCUGUAAACAGUGCAAAAAGAUCGGUGAGGUAUCGUAUAUGACUGAUUAGUAUCGUCUGCCAGAAAGAAAGAGUCUUGGUCUCGUAUUGAUCGCUAUGUCCAAUACAUCGAUCGAACUUAGUGCCGGAAUCUUCGAGUUGUCUCUCAGUACUUUUGGUGAUGUAAGUAAAAUCAAAAUCUAUUAUAUAUCAUAUCUAUUCGUAAAUAAUAUGAAUUACACGUAGUUUGUCUAAUCAAUAGGUGAUUAAGUCAUCCCUCGCCUACUUGAAUAUGCUACAUACAUUAGCUACAUAAUACUUGUUUGAUAUGUAGAAAUUGUUAAUGCACCUACUGGUUGCAAAUUAGAUCCAAUAUAUAUAUCAAAAUAGAGAAAUGAACAUUAUUUAAAAAAAUUGACGUACUUAUUUAUUAAAAUAUUUGAUGAAAAAAAAAGAAUACAAUAUUCCUAUUGCAUUUUUUCUGUAUUUUUUCGCGCUGCACAUAUCGCACGAUAAUGUCGUAUUAUGUGUGUGUGUGCAUGUACAACACAUGUAAUUUAUAAUUAAACAAAUUUUCUUAUCAAAUACAGAUUCUAUAAGUGGUAGGAUUUAGUGCAUAUUAUAAUAUUUUAUCUAUGACAUUUUUCUUACAUAAUUCAACAUAUACUCAAUAUCACAUGAGGAACCUUAACCUUUUAAAGAAAUCCCUUCACAGAAGUUGGAAAUUAUAUUUGCCAAGUUCACCCUUCAUAUUCUGCUUGAUCACCGCUUUCUCAGAAACUAACUAGCGCAACCGCAUUUUAACUCUUAAUGCUAUAAGCAUAGUUGUAUUUCA
RNAcentral lists this unclassified non-coding RNA (3755 nucleotides) under Monomorium pharaonis (pharaoh ant). RNAcentral describes it as "odorant receptor 13a, transcript variant X3". Lineage: Eukaryota; Metazoa; Arthropoda; Insecta; Hymenoptera; Formicidae. The record is from RNAcentral.